This 408-nucleotide ribosomal RNA is filed under the name Triticum aestivum (bread wheat). RNAcentral describes it as "partial small subunit ribosomal RNA". Lineage: Eukaryota; Viridiplantae; Streptophyta; Magnoliopsida; Poales; Poaceae. The record is from RNAcentral.
AUGAUGACGCCGCCCUCGUCGCGGCCGCGGCACCGAGCGGCGAUCUCCUCGAGGGCGCGGCGCUGGUGCUCCAUCUCCUCGGACAUAGUCGUCCCGCGCCCAUUUGAGGGCGGUCUCGUCGGCGGCGGCCAUGUCGAUGUGCUCCUGUUUCACGACGACGGGCGGCAUCCCCGGCUCCCCCUUCGGCCUGACCAGGUGAAGAGGAGGGGAAGGCUAGCGGCGGCCCUCGUUUAUGACGAGGCCGCCGGCACGGCUGCGCCGACGCUCCGGCAUCUCCACGGGCUCGAGCUUGACGGGGCGAGCGGCGCCGCGUCGGAGGAGCGGGUGGAGGAGGAGCCACCCGUCAUGCGCCUCGGCAGCCAAGAGCUGCCGCUCCGGUGGGAGACUGGAGUCGCCUGGGGCGCCUAG